Long non-coding RNA from Mustela lutreola (European mink), 5735 nucleotides. RefSeq lists it as uncharacterized. The record is from RefSeq and is a predicted model, not a curated record. NCBI's taxonomy places the organism in Eukaryota, Metazoa, Chordata, Mammalia, Carnivora, Mustelidae. The transcript is spliced from 4 exons.
UGGUUGGCAAUGUCGGGGGAACGGCCCGAGCCCGCCGGGACUCUACCCUUCCUGCCCCGCCGCCUGGGAAGACCUGCCCGUCCGGAGCAGCGGAGCCCACCGCGGCGGCGUCAGGGGCCCGCCUCCCGGGCCUCCGAGCUCUGAGGUACCGGGUCGCCGCGCCUCCCGAGCCUCUCGCCCUUCUCUUUAUUUCUCCUCCCGCUUUCGCUCCCCCUUGCCUCUUCAUCUCCCCCACCUCAGCAGGUAUGGAAACGGAGCCAGGCCCGGGAUUCUCCCGGAGACCGAGCUCCCGGGACGCCCGCUCCUCCUCCCCGCCUCCUUCUGGGUCUUCUGCCCCCACCCCAACUCUGCAAGGCCGCAGCGCCCGUCUUCCGCGGGGCUCUCAAGGCCUCGGAACAGACGUCCUCGUCCAAGGCUGUUGAUCACGUUCCUGCGAAAAUGACGAGAAACUCUGAAGUGUUUAUGUUGGAUUUUUCUGUCAAGACUAGAUUGUUGAGCAGCUGAUAAGCUACUGACAUCCAGCUGCUUUUAUAGAAUCACAGAAUUUAGAUUUAACGCCUCCAAAGUCCUCACUUCCUGGUUUGAGGAUUUCUUUCACGUGGACCUUGACUGGGGCUGCCCAGACGCUGCUUGCAUCCUCCAGGGACCAGGGGCCCAGUUUGCACCAAGACCAUCCAUUCCAGGUUUGGAAAACUCAUCCUGUUUUUCCCUCCUGAAAUGACAGAAAAUCUGCACACACACCCCUUCACUUCUCAGAUUAAAUGUCUCUAAUUUCUGUGACUAUUCCUUGCUUGACAGUUUUGGGGUUUUGUUUUCUUGUUUUUAAUAGUUAUUUAUUUGAGAGACAGCACAAGAGGGAGGAGGGUCAGAGGAAAAGCAGACCCCCCUGCUGAGCAGGGAGCCUGAUGCGGGACUUGAUCCCAGGACUCUGGGAUCAUGACCGGAGCUGAAGGCAGCCGCUUAGCUGAGCCACCCAGGCGCCCCAGCUUGAGUUUUUUCAGAGCCUCUCGUGAUGCUUGUCACCCUCCCCUGGGGAGUCUGUCCUUCGAAAACUCUGCCUCCAGCCACCAACAUGAAGUUCCAAGGCAGCCUGGCGGAUGUGGUAUAUCGUGGGACUACUACUUCGCUGACCCAAGACACUUGACCUCCAGUAACACUGCCCAGGAUGACACUGGGUAUAUUUUUAGCAGCUACUUCUCUGUACUAAAGCUUUUGGUCUUUAAAAAUCACAGUCAGGCUUAAUUAGGGAACAAUAAUGCCUGUCUGAAUGCUGCCUUUUCAAAUUCAGAAUCCAUUUUGGGGAGUGGAAAGGGAGCCUAACAUUGGGGGCGGGGGUGUAUGUAUGUUUACUGUCUAUCAGACAUAAUGCUGGGUACUUUAUUACUGUUAUUGUUAAUGUCAUGGCAGUUUCAGUUGGUUGAAGCCCUGCUGUGCACUAGACAUACACAGCCCCAGGGUUAUUAAUCAUUAUUUUACACAUGAAAAAAGGCUGAGAAAUUGGACAACUUGCCCAAGGUCCCACGCCAUUAAGAUAUGGAGUCCCAGUUUAAAUUCGUAUGUCUUGGCCCGAAGCCUGUGCUUACCACUCUGUUGUACUGGCUCAGGAAAAUACAGCCCUCUCAAGUCAAGUGCAAAGUGAGACUCCCUGGGGCCAGCUGGUGGGGGUUGGGGGGUGGCAAUUGGAACCUCCAUUACAAUGCCAGAGGAAACAGUAACAGAGGUGUCUGAACCCUCCAGAUUCAAGAUCAUGAAGGACAGGGAGGACUACCCUGAGUUCUUUGUCCUCUUGAAUCUCCAAAGAAACCUUGGGUGCUACAUUGGUCCAAUCUUAACCUUUUCAUUAUACUGUUAUAUAUGAUUUAAAAUUGUAUCAUUAGCUACUUUAAAUAUUUUGUGAUAUUAUUUCACUGAUAAUUCCACUAAAUAUAGCAACCAUCUUUUUUUCCUUUGGUUCCAUUCAUCUGUGUGUGCAUUUGUACUUUUAUUGCGAAGUCCCAGGAAAUAGCAAACAUGCCUGAGAAAUGUCGCAUCCAGGUGAGAGGUUAGGAUACUCAUCCGCCAACUCAAUGGCUGAGAGUUGCUCCUCAAUGUUAACUCCCUGGCAUUUGGGCCCCCUUUGCAGCAAAUACAUCCCUACGGUUGAGAAAGCCUUUAUGUAGAAAGUUGCAGAUGCUUUCAGUAGGAAUCCACUUGCAGGAAUGACAAGUGCAAGGGUCUAUGAUCAAGGGAUGACAGUAUCUGCUACAGAGGUUGACAUUUAAGCAUACUUGGAGGAAGUCAGAGUGAGCCAUGUGGACAUCUGGGAGAAGAUUCCAAGCAGAAGAAACAGCAGGUACAAAGGUCCUGAGGAAGGAGCUGCCUGGCAUGUCUGAGGAACAGGGAGGAAGACCACAUGGCUGGAGCAGAGUGAGCAAGGGGGCAGAAGAGAGAACAGAGUAAAGUCACAGGAGGCAAGAUCACGUAGGGCCUUCGAGCUGUUUUAAGGAACUGGGUUUCACUCUGAGAGAAACAGGAACCAUCUGAAGUCUGCAAAGACGUAUGAUGUGGUCUAACGUAGAUUUCAAAAGGAUCAACCAGGCAGCUGUUCUGGAAAUGGACUACAGAAAAUGAGGGGAAGAAAAGAGAACACGGGAAGUUGCUGAGAUACCCAGGCAAGACAGAACAGUGGCUUAGAUCAGAGUUGGGGCAAUAGAAGCGGGGAGGAGGUCAGAUUUUUAAUGCAGUAUAAAGGUAAAGUCCACUGAAUUUCUUGACAGAUUUGACAUGGGGUGUGAGAGGAAAAGAGGAGUUUAGUAUAAAACUAAGGAUUUAGCCUGAGCAAUUGGGCUGAGAUAAGGGAGAUUGUGGUGGGGCAUAUUUGGACGACAAUUAGGCAUUUAGUUUUAAACACGCUGAUUUGUAGAUGCCUUCUUCUUCUUUUUUAUUUGAGACCGAGAAAAUGAGAGAGAACACAAGCAAGGAGGAGGGUCAGAGGGAGAGGGAGAAGCAGACUCCCUGCUGUGCAGGGAGCCAUGGGGCUCGAUCCCAAGACCCUGAGAACAUGACCAGAGCCAAAGGCAAACACUUAACCGACUGAGCCACCCAGGCACCCCUGAUUUGUAGAUGUCUUUAUAGACAUUCAAUCAGAGAUGCCAGGUGAGCUGUGACUGUUACAUACAGGUUUGGGUACAGGAGAGCAGCCUAGGCUAGCUGUAAGCAAUUGACAAUUGGCAUAUGAACAGACACUUAAAGCCAGGACACUGGAUAAGCACACAUGACAGAUGUCCCUGGGAUCACCUCUGGAUCUGUGAUUACAUGUAUCCUGGCGCUUCUCAUUCUGUCCACCAUGUCUCUCAGCCACACUUUGUUUUCUGUCUUGCUAUCCCUCUAUGCUCUAUUCCAAGUAUCUUCUUCAGAUCCAACAUCCAGGUCAUUAAUUCUCUCUUUUGCUGUUUCUAGUCUGUCAUUUUAACUUUUAGAACAUUUUUUCACCCUUAGACGUUCUGCUUUUUAAAAAAUCUGUGAUCAGGGCGCCUGGGUGGCUCAGUCAUUAAGCGGCUGCCUUCGGCUCAGGUCAUGAGACCAGGGUCCUGGGAUCAAGCCCAGAUCAGACUCUCCAAGCCUGCUUCUCCCUCUCCCUCUGCCACCCCCCGUGCUUGUGCUCUCUCUCUGUCAAAUAAAACCUUUAACAAAUAAUAAAAAAUAAAAACUUCUACUUGAGCCAGCAUUUCUGUUUGUAGCAAGAGUAUUGUCAGGUUAUCUUAUCUGUCACAUGAUGAAAUUGGAAGGCCCCUCAGGGGUGAUUUUAGGGGUCAGAUUAGCUCCUCAGGAACUAUUUUCUAGAACAACAAGCCCAUUUGAGUGGACAUGAUGCCCCCUAGCUCCCACUCAUGUUGGAAGCAUCUGCUCCUGUGAGGAGUUCGAGUGAAGGGUGAUCUACCAAGCGCCAUCCUGGCUUAUUCCUGUGGCUGGGCCCAUGCUCAUGACGACCUGUUUCACGUUGUGCCAAAGAGGCCUACAAGGUAAUGAAUGAGCUAAAGACGAAUGUGCCCAACUGCCAUGACAAAGCCCUGAGACUGGCUGUCUAGGAAUCCUAUGGAGUGAUGUCCAGCACAGCGGUGCCAUCAGGGAAUGAGGGGAAGGGGGACUCGUUAUGCCAAAAACAGUUGCUUCCGGUGGCCCCAACAAGAUGAUGUAACCUCUUUGUCGUGUCCUAUUUCCCAAGAUGUUCCAGAGACCUGGGAACCCCCAACAAGUCCUGGUUGGACAGGGACAGCCAAGGAAGGAAAGAACCAGAACUCUCUGCCUAAGGCCUCCACUAGCUGGGAGGGUAGGCAGAGCCUGGGCCAAUUUGUCCAUUUGGCCGCAAUUGAAGGAAACAUGAGGACAGACCAACAGGGCUGAGUGCACACCAUUAGUUCUGGGCUGUGACAGUUCCCAUGUGUGUCAUCCAGGAGGAUGAAGUUGGGGCACUGCUCUGUGAAGCCUUGGCAUAGUAGAGGUCUCUGAAAGCUCUUUUAGGAUCAUUGUGUAUCAGUCAGUGAAAGAGAAAGGGGCUGACCUCAAGGAUACCUUUCUACUUUCUUCUACAAACCCCCAUCCAUCUGCUCACUGACAGGCUGAAGUCAGAGUCACAGGGUCUUUGGACCAGCGCCAUCCAGUUCAACCUUCUAUGCAGUGCAUGGUCUGUAACCUCCUUGCCAGAGAGCCUCCUACUGUGGGGCUCUUGCUGCUAACAUCAUGCUGAGGAAGAAGGGCCUCCUGCCUUCACUGGCUCAGGGAACCUACAGCCUGAAGGACCUGUGAGAACCAGGGCUCCUUACAGCCAGCUCACCCCCAGGAUGUCCAUCCAGGGAAGGAAAGGCGCUGGCCGGUGGGAGAAAGCCGUGCCAGUAGGAGGGCGGCUGAACUACUUUUUCACCUUCUUCCUGGAGACUCAGUUCUGACCCCACCUGUACACAGGGAAGACAUCCUCCUGGACAGGAAAUAAAAUCAAGUUUUUGAGUGAACAUCAAAAGUACAGACUAGAGAGUGAUUUUAUCCUGUCCCUGCAUACGACAGUGAACUGAAACCCCAAGCAUUCUGUGAGGAUGAGCAAGGGUGUCGGGUGAAGGAUGUUGCCGUCGGAAGGCAGGCUAUCGUGAGCAGGGCGUUUGGAGCAGCCUCGGAGCAGGGCGUUUGGAGCUCCGGGCAGGUGGGUCAGCAGCGCCACGAGAGCAGGUGGGAGUUUCCAGGAGUCUCAUCCUUCAAGGCACUGGCGACGAGUCCCUAUUUCCUGUGUGCCUGCUGGAGGCCCAUCAUGGUUUUCAAGUAAUUGCGCUGGAUACAGAGAAGAGGAGAAAAUGGGAAUUGAUUAGGAGGCAUGGACUUAAGACCCCGAAGCUAUGCCACUUACACCCACGCCCUCAUUCUUUCUGCAAGCAUCAUACUCUGGGGACAAGGAUGCCCUCUGACCAGCCCCAAUUCUGUGAGAAAUAUGUUCCAUCCAUCCCCUUUCGUUCUUUUGUCCUAAAGAAAGUGUGUAAAACUGUUUUAAAAUGGUGUGGCAGGGGGCACCUGGGUGGCUCAGUUGGUUAGGCCUCUGCCUUUGGCUCAGGUCAUAAUCCCAGGGUCGUGGGAUCGAGUCCCAUGUAGGGGUCUCUGCUCAAUAGGAAGUCUGUUUCUCCCUCUCCCUGUGCCUGCCACUCCCCCUGCUUGUGCUCUCUCUCCCUCUUUCUUUCUCUCUCUGUCAAAGAAAUAAAAUCUUUUUAAAAAUA